This 222-nucleotide unclassified non-coding RNA is filed under the name uncultured Lysobacteraceae bacterium. Its description in RNAcentral is "uncultured Xanthomonadaceae bacterium contains 16S-23S intergenic spacer region". It matches the Rfam family "Bacterial small subunit ribosomal RNA", at positions 976 to 1194 of the family's 1533-position model. The record is from RNAcentral. Lineage: Bacteria; Pseudomonadati; Pseudomonadota; Gammaproteobacteria; Lysobacterales; Lysobacteraceae.
UGGUCUUGACAUCCACGGAAGUCUGCAGAGAUGCGGAUGUGCCUUCGGGAACCGUGAGACAGGUGCUGCAUGGCUGUCGUCAGCUCGUGUCGUGAGAUGUUGGGUUAAGUCCCGCAACGAGCGCAACCCUUGUCCUUAGUUGCCAGCGAGUAAAGUCGGGAACUCUAAGGAGACUGCCGGUGACAAACCGGAGGAAGGUGGGGAUGACGUUUCCAGGUUAGG